UCCCGCUAAUAUGUUUAACCCCGCCACAUUAUUUAUGAAUAUGCCUGUCCCAAGUCAGGAGCCUGUAAUUCAGUGGUUGUCGUUUGUUUAUGUGUGACAUAUUUGUUUUUCGUUCAUUCUUUUAUAUAAAUAAGACCGUUAAUUUUCUCGUUUGAAUUGUUUUACAUUGUCAUAUCGGAGCCUUUUAUAGCUGACUAUGCG
This 201-nucleotide long non-coding RNA is filed under the name Mytilus galloprovincialis (Mediterranean mussel). The record is from RNAcentral. Lineage: Eukaryota; Metazoa; Mollusca; Bivalvia; Mytilida; Mytilidae.